GCCGAAGUGGUGGAACUGGUAGACGCGCUGGACUCAAAAUCCAGUGGCCGCAAGGCCGUGAGGGUUCGAGUCCCUCCUUCGGCACCA
Molecule: transfer RNA, 87 nt
Filed under: Gemmatimonadota bacterium
Lineage: Bacteria; Pseudomonadati; Gemmatimonadota
Description: Gemmatimonadetes bacterium tRNA-Leu
Rfam family: tRNA
About the family: Transfer RNA (tRNA) molecules are approximately 80 nucleotides in length.
Source: RNAcentral